UACGUAGGGUGCAAGCGUUGUCCGGAAUUAUUGGGCGUAAAGAGCUCGUAGGCGGUCUGUCGCGUCGGAUGUGAAAAUCCAGGGCUUAACCCUGGGCCUGCAUUCGAUACGGGCAGACUAGAGUUCGGUAGGGGAGACUGGAAUUCCUGGUGUAGCGGUGAAAUGCGCAGAUAUCGGGAGGAACACCAAUGGCGAAGGCAGCUCGCUGGGACGUGACUGACGCUGAGACGCGAAAGCGUGGGGAGCAAACAGG
This 253-nucleotide ribosomal RNA is filed under the name uncultured bacterium. RNAcentral describes it as "partial 16S ribosomal RNA". It matches the Rfam family "Bacterial small subunit ribosomal RNA", at positions 524 to 776 of the family's 1533-position model. The record is from RNAcentral.